AGAGAGAGAGAGAGAGAGAGAGAGAGAGAGAGAGAGAGAGAGAGAGAGAGAGAGAGAGAGAGAGAGAGAGGGGCUUUUGUCUCGUUUCGCAGGCGGACGUAACAUCAACUUCCGCGACGAUUGCCCUUUGGUUCCUCCGGAGCAAAGGUAGCUUCUUUCAAUUUUCGGAUGUACGUGUUUAAGAUACGCGUGAGGUAAGCGUCUCCGAUUAAACGAGAGAGAGAGAGAGAGAGAGAGAGAGAGAGAGAGAGAGAAAGAGAGGAGCUUACGAUGUAUCGCCCUCCUUCCGCGAUUGUUCCUCGGUCUUGGCGGUAACCCAAAAUAAAUCGACGGCUCAUUCUUGCUCGUUUUAAACGUGGCCAUUUUCCAUCGUUUUUCAUCUAUAUAUUCGAUAUAACGAUCUUAAACAUGUGCCCCGAUUUCUGAAUACCUUUUUCUACCUUGUAUCGAGUCCUUUGUAUUAUAUAUUUGAAUAAAACUUGUGUCUACGGUAGCAUUUAGCCAAACAUUCCUCCCGAGACAUUCUUCUCUCAACGCGAGAGAAAAAAACGCUUCUUUUUCUGUUAGUAGACUCUCCCGUAAACGUCGUACGCGUAAACCUCGAUUGCCGUUUUUCUUCGAGAAUUCGAGCAAGAAACGUUCACGCGGAUAACUCUACAGUUUCUGUCGCGGGAAGGACCGUUUAUUACUCUUUUCGUCGAUAGAGACGGCAGAGUUCGGAUAUUACGUAUGGCAAUCAACGUCGAUCAAUGCAUUCCGAUCAAUGUAUGCGGUAUUUUUAAGAGAUGCUUGCGUCAAAACUCAACAUACGUUGUACGCUCAUUCCGCGCAGAGAACCUCUGACUUCUUACCUGUUUAUUCCGUUUUCCAUUACAAUUUGCCUAUCGUUGAGGGAAAAUAUGGCCUUCCCCCUCUUUUCUUUCUUUUUUCUUUUUUUUUUACACGAUGGGGUAAACCGCUGAUCCGGAAAGGUUCUACCACUAUUCUACCGUUCACUAAAAUAAACGGAAAAAUGAUAG
This is a long non-coding RNA of Mycetomoellerius zeteki, 1019 nucleotides long. RefSeq lists it as uncharacterized. The transcript is spliced from 2 exons. The record is from RefSeq and is a predicted model, not a curated record. Lineage: Eukaryota; Metazoa; Arthropoda; Insecta; Hymenoptera; Formicidae.